This 467-nucleotide ribosomal RNA is filed under the name uncultured bacterium. RNAcentral describes it as "partial 16S ribosomal RNA". It matches the Rfam family "Bacterial small subunit ribosomal RNA", at positions 28 to 506 of the family's 1533-position model. The record is from RNAcentral.
GACGAACGCUGGCGGCGUGCUUAACACAUGCAAGUCGAACGGAAAGGCCCUGCUUUUGUGGGGUGCUCGAGUGGCGAACGGGUGAGUAACACGCGAGUAACCUGCCCUUGACUUUGGGAUAACUUCAGGAAACUGGGGCUAAUACCGGAUAGGAGCUCCUGCUGCAUGGUGGGGGUUGGAAAGUUUCGGCGGUUGGGGAUGGACUCGCGGCUUAUCAGCUUGUUGGUGGGGUAGUGGCUUACCAAGGCUUUGACGGGUAGCCGGCCUGAGAGGGUGACCGGCCACAUUGGGACUGAGAUACGGCCCAGACUCAUACGGGAGGCAGGAGUGGGGAAUAUUGCACAAUGGGCGGAAGCCUGAUGCAGCAACGCCGCGUGCGGGAUGACGGCCUUCGGGUUGUAAACCGCUUUCGCCUGUGACGAAGCGUGAGUGACGGUAAUGGGUAAAGAAGCACCGGCUAACUACGU